UACGAAGGGGGCUAGCGUUGUUCGGAAUUACUGGGCGUAAAGCGCGUGUGGGCGGGUCUUUAAGUCAGGGGUGAAAUCCUGGAGCUCAACUCCAGAACUGCCUUUGAUACUGAGGAUCUUGAGUUCGGGAGAGGUGAGUGGAACUGCGAGUGUAGAGGUGAAAUUCGUAGAUAUUCGCAAGAACACCAGUGGCGAAGGCGGCUCACUGGCCCGAUACUGACGCUGAGGCACGAAAGCGUGGGGAGCAAACAGG
RNAcentral lists this ribosomal RNA (253 nucleotides) under uncultured bacterium. RNAcentral describes it as "partial 16S ribosomal RNA". It matches the Rfam family "Bacterial small subunit ribosomal RNA", at positions 524 to 776 of the family's 1533-position model. The record is from RNAcentral.